This 577-nucleotide ribosomal RNA is filed under the name Microbacterium sp. Its description in RNAcentral is "bacterial SSU rRNA". It matches the Rfam family "Bacterial small subunit ribosomal RNA", at positions 82 to 672 of the family's 1533-position model. Lineage: Bacteria; Bacillati; Actinomycetota; Actinomycetes; Micrococcales; Microbacteriaceae. The record is from RNAcentral.
GCUGGGUGGAUCAGUGGCGAACGGGUGAGUAACACGUGAGCAAUCUGCCCCUGACUCUGGGAUAAGCGCUGGAAACGGCGUCUAAUACUGGAUACGAACCGUGGAGGCAUCUUCAACGGUUGGGAAGAUUUUUUGGUCAGGGAUGAGCUCGCGGCCUAUCAGCUUGUUGGUGAGGUAAUGGCUCACCAAGGCGUCGACGGGUAGCCGGCCUGAGAGGGUGACCGGCCACACUGGGACUGAGACACGGCCCAGACUCCUACGGGAGGCAGCAGUGGGGAAUAUUGCACAAUGGGCGAAAGCCUGAUGCAGCAACGCCGCGUGAGGGAUGACGGCCUUCGGGUUGUAAACCUCUUUUAGCAGGGAAGAAGCGAAAGUGACGGUACCUGCAGAAAAAGCGCCGGCUAACUACGUGCCAGCAGCCGCGGUAAUACGUAGGGCGCAAGCGUUAUCCGGAAUUAUUGGGCGUAAAGAGCUCGUAGGCGGUUUGUCGCGUCUGCUGUGAAAUCCCGAGGCUCAACUUCGGGUCUGCAGUGGGUACGGGCAGACUAGAGUGCGGAGGGGGAGAUUGGAAUUCCUG